UACGUAGGGUGCGAGCGUUAAUCGGAAUUACUGGGCGUAAAGCGUGCGCAGCGGUUUUGUAAGCCAGGUGUGAAAUCCCCGGGCUCAACCUGGGAAUGGCAUUUGGGACUGCAAGGCUGGAGUGCGGGCAGAGGAGACUGGAAUUCCUGGUGUAGCAGUGAAAUGCGUAGAUAUCAGGAGGAACACCGAUGGCGAAGGCAGGUCUCUGGGCAGUAACUGACGCUGAGGAGCGAAAGACGUGGGGGAGCGAACAGG
Molecule: ribosomal RNA, 255 nt
Filed under: uncultured bacterium
Lineage: Bacteria
Description: partial 16S ribosomal RNA
Rfam family: Bacterial small subunit ribosomal RNA
Source: RNAcentral